Long non-coding RNA from Monopterus albus (swamp eel), 327 nucleotides. RefSeq lists it as uncharacterized. NCBI's taxonomy places the organism in Eukaryota, Metazoa, Chordata, Actinopteri, Synbranchiformes, Synbranchidae. The record is from RefSeq and is a predicted model, not a curated record. The transcript has 3 exons.
GCUUCGAGAGGAUUUCGUGUGUUUGCUAUCCUUGUGGUUCCUUGCAGAAGGGCACGGAGAGGCCGAAAUAAGGCUACCCGGUGUAGCAAGAACUUGGCACUUAAUCUUUCAAACAUGCUGUCCAGGGUCGUUUUUGUUUCAGCCAGUGCCCUGAAAGGAGGUUCUCCCCUUGGAGCUGGUCUUGUCCAGGCAUCUCGCUCCCUGCACACAUCAUCCCAGAGUCUGGCCCCAGUGCCCCCUCUGCCAGAGAAGGGAGGCAAGGUCCGUCAUGGCCUCAUCCCAGAGGAGUUCUUCCAGCUCCUGUACCCCAAAACUGGAGUGACAGGU